CUGGCCGUGUCACGCUCUCUUGCCUGCUGACGUGUAAAGUCUUGAAGACAGCAUUUGUCUUGCUAAUGGAAAGCAGACAAAACAUUUUCACUGCUUGAUAGCAUCUGUUUGCAGAAUCACCAGUCUUAAAUGGAUAAGAAGAGCCAAGCGAAGACUCAAAAUGGAGAGGAGAAGAGGACAAGACACAUUUCAGACAAGUGCUAAUGAAUGUAAACACGACAGCGAUAAAAGCUGAUGGCCGAGGCCCUGAAGAGAAUUUUAAACCAUUUUUCAAGCGUUUCUCGCCUAACACAUUAGCCUUAUCGUAUUCAUCAUUGGACACGUGCAAUGCUGGGAGAGAGAAAAAAAAGAACUCAUACUGAGGACAUGAAGGAUCGUAUUCUCAUCACCCAAAGGCAUCGUCCUUCCCUACCCUGAAGGAUAAUUUGCACAGACAGAUUUCCUCCUCACACAAACAGAGCUCAGCUGUGAUGGAUAAUACUGAGCUGGGAAACUUCAGCAGCAGGUAGCAUCCUUCCUUUGUGGACAUCAUUUGCCUGCUACACUGGUAAUUCUCAUUAAAUUGUUCAGAUAUUAUGCAUUGCAACCCGAAGACACAGUGACGGGUGAAAUAAUAAUCAGUUGCGCCUGAUUCCUGUGUGGCAGAGGGCCUUUAGAGUAGGAACAUAAUUAAAUUAACCUCAAAGGAACAGGGACGUUCUCGUGGCAUGCAUGCAGAGCCUCCGGUGAUUAGCCCAUCGAUUUAUUAAAAUGUACAGAGCUGCUUUAUUGUGGGUGGUUUGUUUACUUACUUUUUUGAGACAAGAGGAUUUGUCUGAAGGAGUUAAUUAGGGUUUUUUUUCCGUCUUGGAGACUCUGGCAGUCAGGAGGUGGGUGGAGUCCUAGGGAGUUUUUGAUGCCAUCUUUGGCUGUGGAAAAGUUGAAAUCAUUGAAGUAUUAUCAGAUUUAUUUAUCUGCAUUAUCUUGGUCAGUGUCAUAGUGGAUCAGGGGCCUAUCCUGGGAAUACUGAGCAUGAGAAGGAAUGCAUGCCAGCCCUAUCACUAUUCACACCUAGAGGCAAUUUAGUAUAGCAAGUCUACUCACCUGGAUGAUUUUGGAAGAUAGAAGGAAAACACAGAAUCUAGAGGAAAACUUCACAGGCUUAAGGAGGACAAACACAAUUCCAUGCAGACAGCAACACAAGGUCAGGACAUAACCGGGGUCUCUGGUGCUCUGAGGCGACCUGGCAGAUCAUAAUCACAGAAUUCAUUUAGACGAAACAGGAAGAUAAAAUUCCUUGUGACUCGACUUCAAGGAAAAAACAGUUAUAUUUGGAAGCAUAUCUAGAAGCACAAAUCUGGAGCAAAUCAUUUUCCUUUUGUCAUCAAAUAGUCAGUGGACAAGGUUAAAUGUGUUUAGAAUUAUGUCUAUUCUGUGGAGGCCCCGGGCUCCGUUCGCUAGGUUCAUCCACGGGUCAGAGUCCAUCACCUCGAGACGUUCAGGAUGUGGCUGAGAAACAAGCUGGUGACAAACUCUUCCCUCAGGAUAUCCUGCCACAUGUCUGGUUGUAGGUCUGAAAAAAAACCUUGCAUCAUAGCUCCUACAGUGUCAGACAUGGGAAUUGCACAUGGCGUAGGCAGGGGAUUCUAUUGCGCUGGUAGUGAUAUACUGUAUUUUUUAUGAAGGUGUUGUGGGCUGAAGUGUAUGAGGGAAAGGUCCCAGGUUACAGUGUUAUUUGUUAAAAAGUUUCUCAGUUUCACACUUUAUCAGCAGAGUUACCAGUUGUGAGCUGACUCAUAGUGGGUUGUGGAACAUAUCAGAUGCUUAUAGAGUCUGCAACCAUGAAGGAAUUUUUCCAUUGUGCUGAUUUAUUUAUGUAAGCUUGACCAGAAAGGCAAACGAUUAUUAGCAUAAAUCUAUAUUUUGCAGUAAAUCACAGCCAUUAAACAGUAUACUGUAAUUCUGAUUCUGUAUGUUGAUGCUUUACCUCAGGAGGUUUUUGUCUAAUGACUGUCAAAAAAUAAUCACAACUUCUAAAUUUUUUUUUUUAUUGCAUGAUUUAUUACAUGUAAAAUGAUCCAUUUCAGACAUUCAUGUAUAUUCCAUAACGAUCCAUGACAUGGAAUGUUUGUGAUGUCUGCUAAACUGGCAAACGACAAAUGGGGCAAUUUUCUGUUCACUAUAUAUGACUUUGCAUGUAAGAAUUGAAAUUCAAUUCAAUUUUAUUUCUAAUGCGAUUUAAAUAAUAGAAAUUUUAACAAAGCGGCUUCACAGGAAUAUAAAAAAAUAUAUAUUUUUUUUUUACAAUUUAUAUUUAUCCCUAACGAGCAAGCCAGAGGUGACAGUGGUGAGGAAAAACUUCCCGAGACAAUGUAAGGAAAAAACCUAGCGAGGAUCCAGACUCAAAAUGGAAACCAUCUUCAUCUGGGUGACACCGGAG
Tachysurus vachellii is the source of this 2419-nucleotide long non-coding RNA. RefSeq lists it as uncharacterized. NCBI's taxonomy places the organism in Eukaryota, Metazoa, Chordata, Actinopteri, Siluriformes, Bagridae. The record is from RefSeq and is a predicted model, not a curated record. The transcript is spliced from 3 exons.